UAAACUGUAGCUAAAUUAAAAGCGCUUCACUUACGUUGGAGAGAUCACAUGAUAUUGUGCUGUUUAA
This 67-nucleotide transfer RNA is filed under the name Plesionika ortmanni. RNAcentral's name for it is "tRNA-Val". The record is from RNAcentral. Lineage: Eukaryota; Metazoa; Arthropoda; Malacostraca; Decapoda; Pandalidae.